CGGGGCUUAAAGUCUUGUAAUUGGAAUGAUGGGAAUUUAAACCUCUUCCAGAGUAUCAAUUGGAGGGCAAGUCUGGUGCCAGCAGCCGCGGUAAUUCCAGCUCCAAUAGCGUAUAUUAAAAUUGUUGCAGUUAAAAAGCUCGUAGUUGAAUUUCUGCUGCAUUGCUUGUGUCCCUUUUGGGUCUGUGCAUGUGGCUUUUUUCGGACGGAGUUUCUUUGUCUGAAUGUUUACUUUGAGAAAAUUAGAGUGCUCAAAGCAGGCUUUCGCCUUGAAUAGUUUAGCAUGGAAUAAUAAAGUAGGACUUUGGUUCUAUUUUGUUGGUUUUAGGUACCAAAGUAAUGGUUAAUAGGAACAGUUGGGGGCAUUCGUAUUUAACUGUCAGAGGUGAAAUUCUUAGAUUUGUUAAAGACGAACUACUGCGAAAGCAUUUGCCAAGGAUGUUUUCAUUAAUCAAGAAC
RNAcentral lists this ribosomal RNA (458 nucleotides) under Theileria annulata. Its description in RNAcentral is "SSU rRNA". It matches the Rfam family "Eukaryotic small subunit ribosomal RNA", at positions 486 to 984 of the family's 1831-position model. Lineage: Eukaryota; Apicomplexa; Aconoidasida; Piroplasmida; Theileriidae. The record is from RNAcentral.